Molecule: ribosomal RNA, 227 nt
Filed under: uncultured bacterium
Lineage: Bacteria
Description: partial 16S ribosomal RNA
Rfam family: Bacterial small subunit ribosomal RNA
Source: RNAcentral
CUGAACCAGCCAAGUAGCCUGAAGGAUGACUGCCCUAUGGGUUGUAAACUUCUUUUAUAAAGGAAUAAAGUCGGGUAUGCAUACCCGUUUGCAUGUACUUUAUGAAUAAGGAUCGGCUAACUCCGUGCCAGCAGCCGCGGUAAUACGGAGGAUCCGAGCGUUAUCCGGAUUUAUUGGGUUUAAAGGGAGCGUAGAUGGAUGUUUAAGUCAGUUGUGAAAGUUUGCGG